This 265-nucleotide ribosomal RNA is filed under the name uncultured bacterium. RNAcentral describes it as "partial 16S ribosomal RNA". It matches the Rfam family "Bacterial small subunit ribosomal RNA", at positions 793 to 1055 of the family's 1533-position model. The record is from RNAcentral.
GUCCUAGCUGUAAACGGUGAGUACUAGGUGUUGGAGGUAUUGACCCCUUCAGUGCCGUAGCUAACGCAUUAAGUACUCCGCCUGGGAACUACGACCGCAAGGUUGAAACUCAAAGGAAUUGACGGGGGCCCGCACAAGCGGUGGAGCAUGUUGUUUAAUUCGAUGCAACGCGCAAAACCUUACCUGGGCUUGACAUGUGGUGACAUCAGGAUGAAAGUCCGGCUUUCCGCAAGGAACACCAACACAGGUGCUGCAUGGCUGUCGU